Non-coding RNA from Roridomyces roridus, 94 nucleotides. NCBI's taxonomy places the organism in Eukaryota, Fungi, Basidiomycota, Agaricomycetes, Agaricales, Mycenaceae. The record is from the annotation of a GenBank genome assembly.
ACACGCAUGGUGAAACGGUAUCAUGCUUGCCUUCCAUUACGGGUGCUUAUCUCCAGGUUAGCAAGCGGCAGGGGUUCGACUCCCCUUGCGUGUA